RNAcentral lists this microRNA precursor (104 nucleotides) under Cricetulus griseus (Chinese hamster). Its description in RNAcentral is "miRNA (ENSCGRG00001002085.1)". The record is from RNAcentral. Lineage: Eukaryota; Metazoa; Chordata; Mammalia; Rodentia; Cricetidae.
GGUGUGGACUUGUUGGAGGAAGUGUGUCACUGGGGGUGGGCUUUGAGGUUUCAGAAGCUCAAGCCACGCCUAGUGUCACUCUCUUCCUGCUGCCUCUCAGCUCC